GCCGCCAGUGUGCUGGAUUCGCCCUUAGCGGAGCGUGUGGUUUAAUUCGAUGCGACGCGAAGAACCUUACCUGGGCUUGACAUGGGACUGCACCGGGGGUUAUGCCCCGUCCCCGCAAGGGGCGGUUCCACAGGUGCUGCAUGGCUGUCGUCAGCUCGUGCCGUGAGGUGUUGGGUUAAGUCCCCUAACGAGCGCAACCCCUGGGGUCCGUUGUAGGUUUCGGGCCCGACUGCCGCGCGCAACGCGGAGGAAGGUGGGGAUGACGUCAAGUCAGCACGGCCCUUACGUCCAGGGCGACACACACGCUACAAUGGCCGGUACAAUGGGACGCCAAGCCGCGAGGCGGAGCCAAUCCCCCAAAGCCGGUACUCAGUUCGGAUCGCAGGCUGCAACUCGCCUGCGUGAAGCUGGAGUUGC
Molecule: ribosomal RNA, 417 nt
Filed under: uncultured bacterium
Lineage: Bacteria
Description: bacterial SSU rRNA
Rfam family: Bacterial small subunit ribosomal RNA
Source: RNAcentral